This 890-nucleotide long non-coding RNA is filed under the name Cavia porcellus (domestic guinea pig). RNAcentral's name for it is "lncRNA (ENSCPOG00000039661.1)". Lineage: Eukaryota; Metazoa; Chordata; Mammalia; Rodentia; Caviidae. The record is from RNAcentral.
CGGACCACCCGAGUGAAUAGUCCUCGCGCCGGUGGGACACGGCGGUGAGUGCUUUCCCCUCGCCUCCAGCCUCCAGGAGGUUCCCGGCGCCUCAGGCAGCUGCAGCUUCGAAGCGGCUGCCACCGCACCUGGGCAGCCUGGACCCUCGUGCCCUGCUCCCGAGGCCUUGCGCGGUGGGCGCCCCGGGACACCCCUGCGGGCCGGGUGGAGGAGGAGAAAGAAGAAUAAGAGGAAGACGUGGACCAGGAUCCCCAACCUCCCCACAACACCUGGCCUCUCCGCUUCCACUUCUUUCACACAAGGAGAGAGGAGCCAGCAAGAGCCAUGGGGGGCUGCGAAGUCCGAGAAUUUCUUUGGCAAUUUGGAUUCUUUUUGCCUCUGAGGACAGCUUGGCCGGGCUACUGUAGUCACGUCUCCAACAACCAAGUGGACUUACCUGCUGAAAGGAAGAUUCCCUGGGGAGACACAUCAUCAGUGACUAAAUUGACCUUCACAUGUAUGGACUGGUCUUCUCUAUGCCUGAUUAAUGGUUGUAUUGCUUGAUACAACUACUGUGCUGGAUGAACUAGGAUGGAAGACGUAUCCAUUAAAUGGGGUAAGUUUACGUAUGUUAAAAAUGAAAAAGACAAAUUCUCAUCCUCAUUAGGUUUUAGGGACUUGGGAUAAAUGAAAAAACAGAUUUUUGGUACUCUCUUAUAUGCUUUUUGGUAUAAAGUUUAAAAUCAUGUGAAAAGAUCAAACUAUAAAUGACAAGUUGAUGGGACUUAUAUGUAAACAUUCUGUUUUCUUCUAUAUUAUAGUAACUGUUGUGUUUUACACAUAGUAAUGUUAGAAUUCUGCUUAUACAAAUUUUCCUCAGAAAUAAAUUUCGAUAUGUAAUAUCAGGACAU